This 253-nucleotide ribosomal RNA is filed under the name uncultured bacterium. RNAcentral describes it as "partial 16S ribosomal RNA". It matches the Rfam family "Bacterial small subunit ribosomal RNA", at positions 524 to 776 of the family's 1533-position model. The record is from RNAcentral.
UACGAAGGGGGCUAGCGUUGUUCGGAAUUACUGGGCGUAAAGGGCGCGUAGGCGGUGUGUCAAGUCAGGCGUGAAAGCCCCGGGCUCAACCUGGGAACAGCGCUUGAGACUGGCACGCUCGAGUUCGGGAGAGGAUGGUGGAAUUCCCAGUGUAGAGGUGAAAUUCGUAGAUAUUGGGAAGAACACCGAUGGCGAAGGCAGCCAUCUGGACCGACACUGACGCUGAGGUGCGAAAGCGUGGGGAGCAAACAGG